RNAcentral lists this transfer RNA (75 nucleotides) under Acidobacteriota bacterium. Its description in RNAcentral is "Acidobacteria bacterium tRNA-Pro". It matches the Rfam family "tRNA". Rfam says of the family: Transfer RNA (tRNA) molecules are approximately 80 nucleotides in length. Their secondary structure includes four short double-helical elements and three loops (D, anti-codon, and T loops). RNAcentral also lists the same sequence under 2 other names. Lineage: Bacteria; Pseudomonadati; Acidobacteriota. The record is from RNAcentral.
CGGGGCGUAGCGCAGCGGUAGCGCAGCUGCUUUGGGAGCAGCAGGUCGGCGGUUCGACCCCGCCCGCCCCGACCA